AGAGUUUGAUCCUGGCUCAGGAUGAACCUUUGCGGUGUGCCUAAUACAUGCAAGUCGAACGGUGACUAUUUUGUAGCAAUACGAAUGAAAUCAUAGUGGCGAACGGGUGAGUAACGCGUUGGUGAUCUGCCUCGAAGUGUGGAAUAACUUCCCGAAAGGGUAGCUAAUACCGCAUACUCUCUCAAGGUUUAGAAAAUUGAGAGUAAAGGAUUUAUUCGCUUCGAGAGGAGCCUGCGUCCCAUCGGCUAGUUGGUAGGGUAAUAGCCUACCAAGGCAAUGACGGGUAGGGGACCUGAGAGGGUGGCCCCCCACAAUGGAACUGAAACACGGUCCAUACACCUACGGGUGGCAGCAGUAGGGAAUAUUAGAAAUGGGCGAAAGCCUGAUCUAGCAACACCGCGUGUGCGAUGAAGGCCUUCGGGUUGUAAAGCACUUUUUGGAGGGAAUAGGAAGGAAGGUACCUCCAGAAUAAGUCUCGGCUAACUACGUGCCAGCAGCCGCGGUAACACGUAGGAGGCAAACGUUAUCCGGAUUCACUGGGCGUAAAGCGCGUGUAGGUGGUUCUGUAAGUAGGGCGUGAAAGCUCCCGGCUCAGCUGGGAGAGGCCGUACUACACUGCAGAGCUAGAGGAUGGUAGAGGGAGGUGGAAUUCCAGGUGUAGUGGUGAAAAUGCACAGAUAUCUGGAGGAACACCAGUGGCGAAGGCGGCCUCCUGGACCAUUCCUGACACUCAGACGCGAAAGCUAGGGUAGCAAACGGAAUUAGAGACUCCGGUAGUCCUAGCCCUAAACGAUGCAGACUAGGCGUCGGCGGUUUAAUCACCGUCGGUGUCCAAGCUAACGCGAUAAGUCUGCCGCCUGAGGACUACGGCCGCAAGGCUAAAACUCAAAGGAAUUGACGGGUCCCCGCACAAGCAGCGGAGCGUGUGGUUUAAUUCGAUGCUCCGCGAAGAACCUUACCUGGGUUUGACAUAACAGUGGUAGAGAAGUGAAAACGGAUCGACCCUUCGGGGAGCUGUUACAGGUGUUGCAUGCCUGUCGUCAGCUCGUGUCGUGAGAUGUUCGGUUAAGUCCGCUAACGAGCGCAACCCGCGCUGUGUGUUACAAGUGUCACACAGUACCGCCGGUAUUAAGUCGGAGGAAGGUGCGGAUGACGUCAAGUCAGCAUGACCUUUAUAUCCAGGGCUACACACACGCUACAAUGGUCAGAACAAUAGGUUGCCAAGCCGCAAGGCGGAGCCAAUCCUCCAAAUCUGGCCUCAGUUCAGAUUGCAGGCUGCAACUCGCCUGCAUGAAGUCGGAGUUGCUAGUAACCGCAGGUCAGCAUACUGCGGUGAAUACGUUCCCGGGGAUUGUACUCACCGCCCGUCA
This 1370-nucleotide ribosomal RNA is filed under the name uncultured bacterium. Its description in RNAcentral is "16S ribosomal RNA". It matches the Rfam family "Bacterial small subunit ribosomal RNA". The record is from RNAcentral.